RNAcentral lists this ribosomal RNA (492 nucleotides) under uncultured bacterium. RNAcentral describes it as "partial 16S ribosomal RNA". It matches the Rfam family "Bacterial small subunit ribosomal RNA", at positions 29 to 507 of the family's 1533-position model. The record is from RNAcentral.
AGUGAACGCUGGCGGUAGGCCUAACACAUGCAAGUCGAACGGCAGCACAGUAAGAGCUUGCUCUUACGGGUGGCGAGUGGCGGAUGGGUGAGGAAUACAUCGGAAUCUACUUUUUCGUGGGGGAUAACGUAGGGAAACUUACGCUAAUACCGCAUACGACCUACGGGUGAAAGCAGGGGAUCUUCGGACCUUGCGCGAUUGAAUGAGCCGAUGUCGGAUUAGCUAGUUGGCGGGGUAAAGGCCCACCAAGGCGACGAUCCGUAGCUGGUCUGAGAGGAUGAUCAGCCACACUGGAACUGAGACACGGUCCAGACUCCUACGGGAGGCAGCAGUGGGGAAUAUUGGACAAUGGGCGCAAGCCUGAUCCAGCCAUGCCGCGUGGGUGAAGAAGGCCUUCGGAUUGUAAAGCCCUUUUGUUGGGAAAGAAAAGCAGCAAGUUAAUACCCCGCUGUUCUGACGGUACCCAAAGAAUAAGCACCGGCUAACUUCGUG